RNAcentral lists this microRNA precursor (125 nucleotides) under Hordeum vulgare. RNAcentral's name for it is "microRNA MIR1122". It matches the Rfam family "MIR1120/MIR1122 microRNA precursor family". Lineage: Eukaryota; Viridiplantae; Streptophyta; Magnoliopsida; Poales; Poaceae. The record is from RNAcentral.
GAUAUACUCCCUUCGUCCGAAAAUACUUGUCGGAGAAAUGUAUGUAUCUAGACGUAUUUUAGUUCUAGAUCCAUCCAUUUUUAUCCAUUUCCGCGACAAGUAAUUCCGAACGGAGGGAGUAUAUU